CCUUCCAUUCCAUCUUGCACUGUACUUGGUUUAAUGAGACCAAGUGCAGGAUCUGUUGUGGUACCAAAUAUAAAGUUCCUAAACUCCAAUGUACCUCAGUAUAGCCAAAGAGCCUGAAAACCAGUGUGUUAUGAGUAACCUGCCAUUGAAGCUCAGUUCAUUGAAGGUAACUAUACAGGGCAAUCAUAACACCAUUGAAAUAACAACCAAACAAAGCAAUUUUAUUCAAAUGCAUAAUCUUGAUAUCAAGACUAGCAGUAAAACCAAUGGCCAUUGCAAAGCCAAUAAACCACAUAAAACAAAUUGAAAGGAUAAUAAAAGAUGCUAAUAGAGCUUAUUGAAGAAACAAAAAUAAACGCCAGAACGAUAUUAAAUGCCAAAACACAAGAGACCAGCCUCUCACAGCACAACGACUCGUGUGUGGUGUACUUCAUGUAUAAAUUAUGGCUUGGAAUCACUAGGUUUGGGGUGUGAGGGACCCCUCUCCUCUACCUGCUUAGAACCUCC
RNAcentral lists this long non-coding RNA (507 nucleotides) under Brassica napus (rape). RNAcentral describes it as "long non-coding RNA (BNAP_LNC009916)". The record is from RNAcentral. Lineage: Eukaryota; Viridiplantae; Streptophyta; Magnoliopsida; Brassicales; Brassicaceae.